AUGAACGCUGGCGGCGUGCCUAAUACAUGCAAGUCGAGCGAACAGACGAGGAUCUUGCUCCUCUGACGUUAGCGGCGGACGGGUGAGUAACACGUGGAUAACCUACCUAUAAGACUGGGAUAACUUCGGGAAACCGGAGCUAAUACCGGAUAAUAUAUUGAACCGCAUGGUUCAAUAGUGAAAGACGGUUUUGCUGUCACUUAUAGAUGGAUCCGCGCCGCAUUAGCUAGUUGGUAAGGUAACGGCUUACCAAGGCGACGAUGCGUAGCCGACCUGAGAGGGUGAUCGGCCACACUGGAACUGAGACACGGUCCAGACUCCUACGGGAGGCAGCAGUAGGGAAUCUUCCGCAAUGGGCGAAAGCCUGACGGAGCAACGCCGCGUGAGUGAUGAAGGUCUUCGGAUCGUAAAACUCUGUUAUUAGGGAAGAACAAAUGUGUAAGUAACUAUGCACGUCCUGACGGUACCUAAUCAGAAAGCCACGGCUAACUACGUG
RNAcentral lists this ribosomal RNA (496 nucleotides) under uncultured bacterium. RNAcentral's name for it is "partial 16S ribosomal RNA". It matches the Rfam family "Bacterial small subunit ribosomal RNA", at positions 29 to 507 of the family's 1533-position model. The record is from RNAcentral.